AAGUCGUAACAAGGUUUCCGCAGGUGAACCUGCGGAAGGAUCAUUAGUGAAUUGUGAAGGCUGUUGCUGGCCAUAAUGGCAUGUGCACGCCUUUUGCUUUCUUUCCACCUGUGCACUCUUUGUAGGCGCGAGUCUAUGAUUUUACAAACACAAUGUAUGAUAUGUUGGCUGGCUCUAAUACAAUACAA
Molecule: unclassified non-coding RNA, 188 nt
Filed under: plant metagenome
Description: partial contains small subunit ribosomal RNA and internal transcribed spacer 1
Rfam family: Eukaryotic small subunit ribosomal RNA (bases 1-46)
Source: RNAcentral